Molecule: ribosomal RNA, 406 nt
Filed under: uncultured bacterium
Lineage: Bacteria
Description: partial 16S ribosomal RNA
Rfam family: Bacterial small subunit ribosomal RNA
Source: RNAcentral
AUUGAACGCUGGCGGCAGGCCUAACACAUGCAAGUCGAACGAGUGGCGGACGGGUGAGUAAUGUCUGGGAAACUGCCCGAUGGAGGGGGAUAACUGCUGGAAACGGGAGCUAAUACCGCAUACCAUCGGAUGUGCCCAGAUGGGGUUAGCUAGUAGGGGGGGUAACGGCCCACCUAGGCGACGAUCCCUAGAUGUGCUGAGAGGAUGACCAGCCACGCUGGAAAGGAGACACGGUCCAGACUCCUACGGGAGGCAGCAGUGGGUAAUAUUGCACAAUGGGCGCAAGCCUGAUGCAGCCAUGCCGCGUGUAUGAAGAAGGCCUUCGGGUUGUAAAGUACUUUCAGCGAGGAGGCGUUACUCGCAGAAGAAGCACCGGCUAACUCCGUGCCAGCAGCGGCGGUAAUUC